Molecule: ribosomal RNA, 389 nt
Filed under: uncultured bacterium
Lineage: Bacteria
Description: bacterial SSU rRNA
Rfam family: Bacterial small subunit ribosomal RNA
Source: RNAcentral
AUUGAACGCUGGCGGCAUGCCUUACACAUGCAAGUCGAACGGCAGCACGGGAGCAAUCCUGGUGGCGAGUGGCGAACGGGUGAGUAAUAUAUCGGAACGUGCCCAGUCGUGGGGGAUAACGUAGCGAAAGCUACGCUAAUACCGCAUACGAUCUAUGGAUGAAAGCGGGGGGAUCGCAAGACCUCGCGCGAUUGGAGCGGCCGAUAUCAGAUUAGGUAGUUGGUGAGGUAAAGGCUCACCAAGCCGACGAUCUGUAGCUGGUCUGAGAGGACGACCAGCCACACUGGGACUGAGACACGGCCCAGACUCCUACGGGAGGCAGCAGUGGGGAAUUUUUGGACAAUGGGCGCAAGCCUGAUCCAGCAAUGCCGCGUGCAGGAUGAAGGCCU